This 378-nucleotide ribosomal RNA is filed under the name Triticum aestivum (bread wheat). RNAcentral describes it as "partial small subunit ribosomal RNA". Lineage: Eukaryota; Viridiplantae; Streptophyta; Magnoliopsida; Poales; Poaceae. The record is from RNAcentral.
AUGGGUGAGGCGGCGCUCAGCUUUGACGUGGAGGCCGGCGAGCUCGCGGUGGCAGCGAGGAAGGGCCGCCGGUGGGUGGAAUGCAUGGUGUGCAGCGUCGGCCUCCUCACCGCCUGCAUGUCGGCCGCCUCCGCCAUAUACAAGGCCCCGGCCGGCAUCUUCGUCGGCCACAGGUGCGCCUACUACGUGUCCGUGGUCGCCGCCGGCAUUUUCGGCCUGGCCGAGGCCUGCGCCGCGGUCGUCUGGUUAUCGGCCGGCGCAGAUGGACCGGGGCAGGGGCAGCAGCAGCGCCUCACACGCCGCUGCGUCCUGUGCGCUUCGCUCCUGCCGCUGGCGUUCAUGGCGGGCAUCGGUGGAGUCCGCAUACUCGUCAAGUAG